This 1670-nucleotide long non-coding RNA is filed under the name Sus scrofa (pig). RNAcentral describes it as "lncRNA (ENSSSCG00035059033.1)". The record is from RNAcentral. Lineage: Eukaryota; Metazoa; Chordata; Mammalia; Artiodactyla; Suidae.
GCGCGCGGCCGCCGCCGCCACCCGGCCCUGCACUUCCACCUCCGGCGACGCCCGGGCCUCCUCGAGGGUUCGGCUUCCCCCGCUGGCGCUCAGCUCCCUCUGGCGGCGGGGCGAGCGGGAAUUCAACCCUUCCACCUUGUCACGUCCAGUCCAGAAUGAAGAAGCCUGAAGUUGGGAAACCUGAAUUUACCAACUGUUAAGGUGUACCCUUCUACUCGGAAGUCAGAGUUGGUGCCACCUAAGUGGGUUCCUGAUGCAGGGGAUUUGAGGACAUCCUCUUCCUUCAACUGUAAGUCACCAAGGGCUCUGGACAUUGUGAAAAUUUCCCUUUCAGUUAUUUUUUUUUCAUUUUUUAUUAUAUUCCUCACUGAAUUUUAUUACAUUUAUAGUUGUACAAAAUUUCCCUUUCAGUUAUUAUGGAAACCCAAAACAAUACCAUCUGGACCCCUCUCUGGCAGUGCAGUGUGGUACCCUCAAAGUUUGAUUGCUAGUAGGUUCAGUCUUCUGGGGCUGGAAGUCCUGAAAAAGAACAUGUUAAGAGAAUUUUAUGCUGAGUAAAACACGCAGGCUUAGGAACGAGUGUGCCUAAGACCUUGAAUUUCUUUCUGGCUCUCAGUAUGCGAGUCAUGAUUAUUUCCCUUGCGUCAUCCUCUGCAUGUGGCUUUUCAUCUUACAUUCUGGCUUUGCUCCAGGAGAUGAUACACUGCCUGAUGCCAGGGCCCUGGUGAAAGGUCACACCCAGAAUGGCCAGGCUGGGAGGAGCUCACUUAACAGUGUGGCCCCUGACUGCGUUCCGUGGUGCUCUACCUUGGUGGGGUCAAAGCAAGAGUGAAAAAUUCCAAAAGGACCUAAAAUGUAGAGUUUGGCCAGAUAAUGCAACUAGAAGGGUUUUUUUUUCUUUUCUUUUUUUUUUUUUUGGUCUGAAUUGCUGUCAGUAGGAGUGAGUGAGUUUCUGUCAUUUCCCCACCAAAUGAAAAAUGGAAUUUAUGAUGAAUGGUUGUUAAAUAAAGUGAUCUGGACUCAUUCUUUUUAGCCUAGUGAGACCCAUCCAGACCUUUUAUAGACAGUUUCUUUAAAGACAGCAUGAGAAACCUCAGUGUCCUCUGGAGGCUUUUGUAAAUGGAGGCCAACCCAGCCUUUAUUAAACUGGGUUUAUAUGUCAUAUAAUUGCCCAUUUUGACAUACCUCUUCCGGACUCUGCUUGAGCAAGGACAAAGUGAGUUGAGGAUUCUCUUCUGCUGCAAAUGCUGAGCUUGAGUGUUUUUUAUUGUUUUUGCUUCAACUUUGUCUUUUUCCAUGUUGUCCCUGAAUUUGUUAAAGUUUCUCCCUUUCUCAGUUUUUUCCCCCACCUACAUAGCUAAGUCUAGUGUUGAUGUCUAUUUCAAUCCAAUUCAAAGUACUACAGCAAACAUCUACUGAGCACUUGGUCAAUACAAAGCAUGCUGAUACUCAGAUUUCCCAUUGUGGCUCAAUAGAAACAAACCUGACUAGUAUCCAUGAGGAUGCAGGUUCUAUCACUGACCUUGCCCAGUGGGUUAAGGAUCUGGUGUUGCUGUGGCUGUGGCUUAGGCCAGCAGCUGCAGCUCCGAUUUGACCCCUAGCCUGGGAACUUCCAUAUGCUGCUCCUGUGGCUCUAAAAAAAAAAAAAAAAAGAAAGAAAGAAAAAAAAA